Molecule: long non-coding RNA, 2350 nt
Organism: Tachysurus fulvidraco (yellow catfish)
Lineage: Eukaryota; Metazoa; Chordata; Actinopteri; Siluriformes; Bagridae
Exons: 2
Source: RefSeq, a predicted model, not a curated record
GCCAUGUGCCUUUGUUUAUGUUCUGGGUUACGUGUCUGCCCCGCCUUUGUCUGCACAUCCCGUCUCUACACACCUGUUUCCCAUUGUCAAUUGUUAUGUCUAUUUAACUGUGCCACGUUGCCGAUGGUGGCGCGGAAUCAUCAUCGUCGUACCGUCAGUGCGAUGUCCGUAUCGUCCUUUCCUUUGUUUCGUCUAGUUUUCGUCUAGUUUGUGUCUGUGUUCCUGUUUCAUGUACAGUGGUAACCCGCAUAUCGACCAGCUCGGACAUUGACCAUUUCACUUAGCGAACGGUUUUCCUAACGAAAUUUGCGCUCGCUGAACGACCAAAUCCCCGCUUAUCGACCUCGAACGUAGCGCGAGGGGAAGGAUCUUCCCAGUCUCGCCUCAGCCUUCGUGGAGAGAGCAUCUAUCGUAAAUUAAACUUCGGUUUGUGAACAACAUUAGUGUUAUUUAGCGGUCAAUAUAACAAUUUAGUGCGUGUAUAUUGUAUAUACAAUACUUUGUUUAAAGUGUAAAGUCUCCUGGCAGUGAGGGCUCAUCCUCCUCCAACUAACACCACUACUCAGCCUCCUCUCGCCCUCUCCAUCAAGCCAUCACUGCGGCUUAACGAACUCUUCAUAUGGAAAGGAAGUCCAAUCUGGAUGCUGUUGAGCUUUGUCCACACUCCAGGAAGGAAACCAAAGAAGGCCACCUGCUCACCCUGCCACUGCUGGCUGGACUGCCUCCUUCCUUUGGGGCUAAAGGCCUCCCCCUGGAAAUUAUAAAUAGACUUUUUGAACUGCCACUAUUGCUAAAAGAACACUUAAUAAAUUCACAUUGGUAAUAGUUCUGUUACUCACAUUUCUCGACUAUUUGCUGUUUAGUGGGGCAGUUCGAACAGCACCUGCUGUUGUCCAGCCUCCAUCAGCACGAGGUGACCCAGGAGCUGGCAAAAAGCCUCAAGAGCGCCACCAAAGAGCUACUGGAGCUUCGGCAACGCUCCGAUGCAGCAUCCAUCCCGCUCCCUGAACCCGGCUGUGAUGCCCAACGCCACCUUUCUAAGCUAACAGAAUAAUGUAAAGACGUAUUUGGACAUUUUUGAGCAGACCGCGGAGCGGGAGUGCUGGUCUAGGCAGGACUAAUCCGACACCCUGCCAGGGAGUACGACAGAAAAACAAGAGAUUCUCACCAGUAGAAGAGGAAGAACGGAACUGGGACCUCCUUCUUCCCUACAUCCUCUUCACCGUCCGUGAGGUUCCCCAGGCUUCUACCGGCUUCACCCUAUUCAAACUGCUGUUUGAGCGAUGACCUCACUGACUGCUGGACGUGGUCCGAGAAGCAUGGGAAGAGCAGCCCUCACCAUUUUGCUCCAUCACUGAUUUCAUUCAGGAUAUGCAGGCACGCAUCGAAUGAGUGGGCCCCAUAGUAAAGUAACAUCUAAAGGCGUCCCAACAGGAACGUACAUACAAUUGACAUUGUGACUAGGUUAUGUUGCUGGUCUCCAACGCUGCCUGCAAAUUCCUGGCCAAAUGGCAGGGCCUGUACACAGUUGAGAGGGUGGGACCUGUGAACUACAAGCUGCAACAGUCAGAUAAGUGCGCAGACACACAACUUUAACAUAUUAACAUCUUGAAGAAGAGCACUGCCUCUGGGCUGGUUGUCUGUGCUUGCUUUUCCCAUCAGAGAUCUUCAGGAGCGUGUCCUGGUGAAGAGGGGAAAUGAUCUCACCCCAGCCCAGCGACAGGAUAUCACAGAGCCGGUGGACCAAUUCGGGCACAUCUUUUCAUCUGUUCAGGGACUCACCCAGCUGGUCCAACAUGAGAUCAAAACCCUUCCAGGUAUGAUGUUAUGGCAACCUUCCCUAUCAGGUCCCGGAGGCCCACCGCCAGGCCAUAGAGGAAUAAGUGGAACGGAUGCAACGGGACGGUGUCAUUGAGGAGUCCACAAGACCCUUGUCUAGCCUUAUCGUAGUGGUGCCAAAGCCAGACGGAACAAUCCAGCUGUCCAAUGACUUCCGGAGGCUCAAUCAGGUACAGUAUCGGAGUUUGACAGCUAUCUCCUCCCCCGAAUGGAUGAUCUUGUGGAGCACCUGUGGAAGGCACGGUUCAUCUCCACCCUGGACCUCACAGAAGGCUGUUGGCAGGUUGCUUUCACCCCGGAAGCUCAGUCGAAGACUGCUUUCAACACCUCCAAUGUCCAAAAAUCGGGUAUUCUGGCACUGAAUCUUGUUCUGUUACCGAGGUUGUAUGUUUUGUAAUCUCCCAGCUAUCUGAACUUGUAGCCAACUUCUGGCUGUUUCCUGGUUUUUAGUUUUGAUUCAGUUUUCAAUUUGGAUUUGUCCUUCUCUUUAAAUAAAACACUUUUUACUUCA